AGGAUCUUAGUUCCCCAACCAGGGAAUGAACGUGGGCCCAUGGCAGUGAAAGCGUGGAGUCCUAACCACUGGACCGCCAGGGAAUUCCCUCAACACACUCUUAUAAAUUGACGAUGACAAAACUGUGUCAGAGUGGAGCUAGGAUGGAAUCCAGUACUGAUGCUCUUAAGCCACCACAAUCCAAUGGCCAUAAUUCCUGCCCAGGAUCUCUACCAGGUCCUCCCUGCCCAGACUGCUGCCCAGUUCCAAGACUCCUACCUCAACAUAGCCAGACAGGGGGAAAUCUUUCCGGAAAGGAUGUCCCUCAAAACCAUAGUCUGUUAAGAUCCUUCUUAGGUCAGGGUGGUUAGCAAAGAAGACUCCAAACAUGUCCCAAAUCUAGAAAAAAGAGGCACUCAGGCAACCAGCCAUCACAGCCAACACAGGGUGAGGGGCUGCACUGUAUCCAGUAAUUUCAAUCAGUUCUGCAACUCCGGCCCAGAGGUGGGUCCACCACAUCCAGUAACUCACCUCCCUCUCAUACCAGUUGGCUGCCUUGUACACAGACACAGAAGACUCAAUGGGUGUCAGCUCAUCUGUAUAGGUCUUCACACGGAUCCGGGAGUUGAAACGCAGAGAGAGCAAGUUGUAAACAAUCUAGGGAGAAUGGAGGGAGCUGGAGGACCAAGAGGACCACAGGCUGAGGGGUCUGGGACAGAAGUCCCUGAGUGGGAGCAUAAUAAUGAGGAUACAGGGUGGGUUAAAGUUCCACCCUGUGAACCUGCCUUCUGUCCCGAAGUUCAAAACCUCAAGAUGCUCUUAUACUUGCAACUACUUCCAAAGGCCUAAGCCACCCUAUAGCUCAGCCUGUCAGCAUGCUUGUCUUUGCUCAUGCUACUGGAUGCCUCCCGACCUGCCCUCCCUCACUGGGCUCAUUCCUGGUCUCCUAGUUAUCCAUUAAGAUUCAGCACAAACUUUCUCUCUCCCUUCAUAAAAGCCUCCUAGACAGGGCUAAGUGCCUCUCCUGUGUUCUUAUAAUAUCCCAUGAAUUAUGUUAUUACAGUAAACUGUUUUAUGUGUC
Long non-coding RNA from Aethalodelphis obliquidens (Pacific white-sided dolphin), 1060 nucleotides. RefSeq lists it as uncharacterized. The record is from RefSeq and is a predicted model, not a curated record. The transcript has 2 exons. Lineage: Eukaryota; Metazoa; Chordata; Mammalia; Artiodactyla; Delphinidae.